RNAcentral lists this ribosomal RNA (497 nucleotides) under uncultured bacterium. RNAcentral describes it as "partial 16S ribosomal RNA". It matches the Rfam family "Bacterial small subunit ribosomal RNA", at positions 28 to 507 of the family's 1533-position model. The record is from RNAcentral.
GAUGAACGCUGGCGGCGUGCCUAAUACAUGCAAGUCGAGCGAACGGACGAGAAGCUUGCUUCUCUGAUGUUAGCGGCGGACGGGUGAGUAACACGUGGAUAACCUACCUAUAAGACUGGGAUAACUUCGGGAAACCGUAGCUAAUACCGGAUAAUAUUUUGAACCGCAUGGUUCAAAAGUGAAAGACGGUCUUGCUGUCACUUAUAGAUGGAUCCGCGAUGCAUUAGCUAGUUGGUAAGGUAACGGCUUACCAAGGCAACGAUGCAUAGCCGACCUGAGAGGGUGAUCGGCCACACUGGAACUGAGACACGGUCCAGACUCCUACGGGAGGCAGCAGUAGGGAAUCUUCCGCAAUGGGCGAAAGCCUGACGGAGCAACGCCGCGUGAGUGAUGAAGGUCUUCGGAUCGUAAAACUCUGUUAUUAGGGAAGAACAUAUGUGUAAGUAACUGUGCACAUCUUGACGGUACCUAAUCAGAAAGCCACGGCUAACUACGUG